UACGACGGGGGCUAUCGUUGUUCGGAAUCACUGGGCGUAAAGCGCACGUAGGCUGGUUGGUCAGUUGGGGGUGAAAUCCCGGGGCUCAACCUCGGAACUGCCUUCAAUACUGCCAGUCUUGAGUCCGAGAGAGGUGAGUGGAAUUCCUAGUGUAGAGGUGAAAUUCGUAGAUAUUAGGAAGAACACCAGUGGCGCAGGCGGCUCACUGGCUCGGUACUUACGCUGAGGUGAGAAAGCGUGGGGAGCAAACAGG
This 253-nucleotide ribosomal RNA is filed under the name uncultured bacterium. RNAcentral's name for it is "partial 16S ribosomal RNA". It matches the Rfam family "Bacterial small subunit ribosomal RNA", at positions 524 to 776 of the family's 1533-position model. The record is from RNAcentral.